This 574-nucleotide long non-coding RNA is filed under the name Homo sapiens (human). RNAcentral describes it as "HSALNT0174198". The record is from RNAcentral. Lineage: Eukaryota; Metazoa; Chordata; Mammalia; Primates; Hominidae.
CUCCCGAGUAGCUGGGACUACAGGCGACCGCCAUGACGCCCGGCUAAAUUUUUGUGUUUUUAGUAGAGACGGGGUUUCACCGUGUUAGCCAGGAUGGUCUCGAUUUCCUGACCUCGGGAUCCACCCGCCUCGGCCUCCCAAAGUGCUGGGAUUACAGGUGUGAGCCACCGCGCCCGGCAGAUAUAUCUUAUUUUUAAAAUCCACAUUAUUGAGUAAAAUCUCACAGUGGAAGGCAUGAGAUCCUGGCUUUGCCAGGCAAAAUUGGACCUGGAAGUAAGCCAAGUGAGGCUGCAGCAGCGGAGGGUCAACCUUCUGCACAGAGCAGCAGUGGAAGUGGUCAUCUUUGGAGGAAAACAUGGAGGCUGCUGUGUCCAGUUCUGAAUCUGUGAUGGUGGUGUAACAUGGCUAGUACUUCGAAAACUUUGAAGAGCCCUUAGUGAUGCUGUUUGCAGCCCUUCAGUCCUAUUCAACACCUCCAAAGGAAAUGGGAGAUGAAAAAGACAUGGCUUUCUAACAAGGAGAAGACUGAGCUCCAAACAAGUCAUAAUCCUAGAGACAGGUACCUGGGCAAGGU